This 404-nucleotide ribosomal RNA is filed under the name Actinomycetes bacterium. RNAcentral describes it as "Actinobacteria bacterium partial 16S ribosomal RNA". It matches the Rfam family "Bacterial small subunit ribosomal RNA", at positions 355 to 776 of the family's 1533-position model. The record is from RNAcentral. Lineage: Bacteria; Bacillati; Actinomycetota; Actinomycetes.
UGGGGAAUAUUGGACAAUGGGCGCAAGCCUGAUCCAGCCAUGCCGCGUGAGUGAUGAAGGCCCUAGGGUUGUAAAGCUCUUUCACCGGUGAAGAUAAUGACGGUAACCGGAGAAGAAGCCCCGGCUAACUUCGUGCCAGCAGCCGCGGUAAUACGAAGGGGGCUAGCGUUGUUCGGAUUUACUGGGCGUAAAGCGCACGUAGGCGGACUUUUAAGUCAGGGGUGAAAUCCCGGGGCUCAACCCCGGAACUGCCUUUGAUACUGGAAGUCUUGAGUAUGGUAGAGGUGAGUGGAAUUCCGAGUGUAUAGGUGAAAUUCGUAGAUAUUCGGAGGAACACCAGUGGCGAAGGCGACUCACUGGACCAUUACUGACGCUGAGGUGCGCAAGCGUGGGGAGCAAACAGG